GCUGGGCAUGGUGGCUCAUGCCUGUAAUCCCAACACUUUGGGAGGCUGAGGCAGGUGGAUCACCUGAGGUCGGGAGUUCGAGACUAGCCUGACCAACAUGGAGAAACCCCGUCUCUA
This 117-nucleotide non-coding RNA is filed under the name Homo sapiens (human). Lineage: Eukaryota; Metazoa; Chordata; Mammalia; Primates; Hominidae. The record is from Rfam by way of RNAcentral.